GAUCCUGGCUCAGGAUAAACGCUGACAGAAUGCUUAACACAUGCAAGUCAACUUGAAUUUGGGUUUUUAACUUAGAUUUGGGUGGCGGACGGGUGAGUAACGCGUAAAGAACUUGCCUCACAGUUAGGGACAACAUUUAGAAAUGAAUGCUAAUACCUGAUAUUAUGAUUUUAAGGCAUCUUAGAAUUAUGAAAGCUAUAAGCACUGUGAGAGAGCUUUGCGUCCCAUUAGCUAGUUGGAG
Molecule: ribosomal RNA, 241 nt
Filed under: uncultured bacterium
Lineage: Bacteria
Description: partial 16S ribosomal RNA
Rfam family: Bacterial small subunit ribosomal RNA
Source: RNAcentral